UGAGGAAUAUUGGUCAAUGGGCGAGAGCCUGAACCAGCCAAGUAGCGUGCGGGACGACGGCCCUAUGGGUUGUAAACCGCUUUUGAUUGGGAACAAAGAGCGCCACGUGUGGUGCGUUGCGUGUACCUUUCGAAUAAGCAUCGGCUAAUUCCGUGCCAGCAGCCGCGGUAAUACGGAAGGUCCGGGCGUUAUCCGGAUUUAUUGGGUUUAAAGGGAGCGCAGGCCGCCGGGCAAGCGUGUUGUGAAAUGCAGUCGCUCAACGUCUGCACUGCAGCGCGAACUGCCCAGCUUGAGUGCGCGCAACGUUGGCGGAAUUCGCCGUGUAGCGGUGAAAUGCUUAGAUAUGGCGAAGA
This 353-nucleotide ribosomal RNA is filed under the name uncultured Prevotella sp. Its description in RNAcentral is "bacterial SSU rRNA". It matches the Rfam family "Bacterial small subunit ribosomal RNA", at positions 355 to 705 of the family's 1533-position model. Lineage: Bacteria; Pseudomonadati; Bacteroidota; Bacteroidia; Bacteroidales; Prevotellaceae. The record is from RNAcentral.